This 301-nucleotide ribosomal RNA is filed under the name uncultured bacterium. RNAcentral describes it as "partial 16S ribosomal RNA". It matches the Rfam family "Bacterial small subunit ribosomal RNA", at positions 509 to 807 of the family's 1533-position model. The record is from RNAcentral.
CAGUAGCCACGGGAAUACGUAGGUGGCAAGCGUUGUCCGGAAUUAUUGGGCGUAAAGGGCUCGCAGGCGGUUUCUUAAGUCUGAUGUGAAAGCCCCCGGCUCAACCGGGGAGGGUCAUUGGAAGCUGGGAAACUUGAGUGCAGAGGAGGAGAGUGGAAUUCCACGUGUAGCGGUGAAAUGCGUAGAGAUGUGGAGGAACACCAGUGGCGAAGGCGACUCUCUGGUCUGUAACUGACGCUGAGGAGCGAAAGCGUGGGGAGCGAACAGGAUUAGAUACCCCCGUAGUCCCUGUCUCUUAUAC